GGAGAAGCAGGCUCCAUGCCGGGAGCCCGAUGUGGGACUUGAUCCCAGGGCUCAGGAUCACACCCUGAGCCAAAGGAAGACACUCAACUGCUGAGCCACCCACGUGCCCCUGACCAGUGGUGAUUUUGAAGCUGCCAACUGUUGUUCCCGGGUGGUCCCCAACUGGGAGAGCUCCAUCAGCACAGAGAUCUCCUGAGUUCAAUCCAUCAUUCUGUGGCCACAGACGGGGGAACAGAGCCCAAGAAUUUACAUUCGAAGUCGCAGAGCCAGUAACAGAAGACGCACCAGGCAGGAUUUGAAAUCUGAGAAACAAAAGAUUUUCCCAGCUGCCAGAGAGCGAACCUCUGUAGUGACUAUUCCUGAGAACAUGCAUACACAGAGGAUGUGGUGGGGUCAACCCAAGGUAAGACACCUCACCUAAUUGCCUCUCCUGUAUCUUACCCAUUCCUCGAAGCCCCCCUCAAGUCCUGACCUCUGUAGGGAAGUCUCCAGAACAGCUCCUGGCUCUCACUCCAGGGAUCUUGCAGUUAACUAGUCUAUAUCACACAGGCGAACAACUAUUUCAAAACCUGUCACGUUCCUUGGUCUUUCUCUCCCUCGUUGACUGGAAACUCCUCCAGGGACAGAGGUUAUCUUUUUAUUGUUAUUUUUUAAACUGCACAGCUCAAACAGUGGAAAUCUUGUCUCCUCUCCCUCCCCCCAAAUCAUUCUGGUUGUCUAUUUUCACAUACAGGGGAUCAUGCCAUAUAGAUUGUUCUUUAAUCUGCAUCCCACUUUGGGAUAUGUCUUACAGGCAAAUGCACACUAGUCAUAGAGAUGCGAUUCUUUCUUUUUAACCAGCACAUAGAUUCCACUGUACAGAAAGCACCCCCCACACCUUUUUUAAACAACAACAGUAUUCCUAUUGAAUGACACUUAAGUUCCUUAUGAAUUCUGUCUUUUUUUUUCUUUCUCUUAUGUGCUCCCCACAGAGCUAGUGGUUUGCAUCCUACUGCAACAGGUGGGUUGGCUCCUUCCCAGAAAGAUUUGGCCAUUGUCUUGGUGGCCCCAAAACAACUGGUGAUGCUAGCUAACAGCCCUGUAGGUGAUGUUGGUGACAGUGAUGAUUCCUGGAAAAACUCCGGAUGUUUCAGAGGUUGGGAAGUGUAGGUGAAAAGCCUGGGGUCCUGCCCAGAGAGGAGGAAGAGAGGCAAAGCUAAUGACCGCGAUGUGGUCUUGAGAUGCAGAGUCACAGAAGCAUUUUCAGGAAACCUCCUGGGCUCUGUUAGAAGAGAGAAAGGAUGCGCCGCUCCUUCUGGCCAAACUGGUCACAAGCGACGCACAGGUCUGGGCAGGAGCAGAGAGACCAGUAAUACAAAAGACAGGGGGUGACACACUCUAGAAAUCCCUGUUUUCCCAGAGCAGGAGUUACUGGGGAGAGUCAACCAACACAUGGGGGUCCUGCAGCUGCAGGAGAAACAGUCUGUUCUACCCUGUGCAGCAGGGGCUGAGCUCAUCUGAGCUGAGCCUGGAGCAAUAUGGAACCGUUGUUGGAGAGGGAACCUCACUGAGGCACUCGCACUGUGCCGAGGUUCUUUAUCGAAACGAGGAAGAGAAAGCAGGAGGAAGCAGGGAAGGGCAAGGUGGGUGAGCACCCCCUUAUGGAGCUUAGGGAGG
Molecule: long non-coding RNA, 1656 nt
Organism: Canis lupus familiaris (dog)
Lineage: Eukaryota; Metazoa; Chordata; Mammalia; Carnivora; Canidae
Exons: 3
Source: RefSeq, a predicted model, not a curated record